RNAcentral lists this ribosomal RNA (430 nucleotides) under uncultured bacterium. Its description in RNAcentral is "bacterial SSU rRNA". It matches the Rfam family "Bacterial small subunit ribosomal RNA", at positions 29 to 507 of the family's 1533-position model. The record is from RNAcentral.
ACGAACGCUGGCGGCAGGCCUAACACAUGCAAGUCGAGCGCCCCGCAAGGGGAGCGGCGGACGGGUGAGUAACACGUGGGAAUUUUCCUCAAGGUACGGAACAACUCAGGGAAACUUGGGCUAAUACCGUAUGAUGCAGAGAUGCCAAAGAUUUAUCGCCUUGGGAUAAGCCCGCGUCAGAUUAGGUAGUUGGUGGGGUAAUGGCCUACCAAGCCUGUGAUCUGUAGCUGGUCUGAGAGGACGAUCAGCCACAUUGGGACUGAGACACGGCCCAAACUCCUACGGGAGGCAGCAGUGGGGAAUCUUGCGCAAUGGGCGAAAGCCUGACGCAGCCAUGCCGCGUGAAUGAUGAAGGUCUUAGGAUUGUAAAGUUCUUUAGCCUGUGACGAUGAUGACGGUAACAGGAGAAUAAGCCCCGGCUAACUUCGUG